Molecule: long non-coding RNA, 836 nt
Filed under: Salvia miltiorrhiza (redroot sage)
Lineage: Eukaryota; Viridiplantae; Streptophyta; Magnoliopsida; Lamiales; Lamiaceae
Description: long non-coding RNA (SMIL_LNC008776)
Source: RNAcentral
AGCACAGCUUGAAUCAUUGUCAAAUUGUCUUUUAACUUCUCAAAAUGACGCUCGACUUUCUCCCGACUGGCCAAGUACUUAAUUGUGCUGGAGGCCAACUGCUGAAACAACGCUUGAAUGAUUGCAGACAGGAAGAGCUCUGCUACUGCCAUUGCUCUUGAUUCUCCUUUUAGAAAAACACGCAGAAUUAGAGGAAUCACGGAAAGAAUGGCUCACAUAAUAGGGAACAAAUCAGAACUAAAAUUAACAUUCCCAAGCUAAUCAUCAAAUUCGAACUGACGGUGUAAUAAAUCAUCAAAUUUGAUAUCCACAAUGUAUGAUCACAUAUUUACAUUCCUUCUCAGAAAAUAAAUAAAAUCAUCACAUUUAAUAUCAACAAACGCCAACAGAGUAAUUGCCGUACAACGUACUAACUCAGCUGUAAAUACCAUAAAUAAAUCAUGAGAAAUCAAGCUAUAAUAGGAGGAAUUUCAUGUGUGGCGUAAUCGAGCUGGAAUCAUAUGAAAUACAAAACAAAAACAACGCUCCUGAAGAAAAUUAGAAAAUAUGAAGAUGCGCGCGCGCAAGUGGAGUGUUAAUACAAGGGUAUAGCAGAAGCCAUACAAUUCAUAAUCACAGAAAAAACAGCAUGAAGACUUACAAAUUUGUGGAGUUGAUCUGGAGAUAGAUAAUCUGGAAAUAAGCAUCAAACUCCAAACGAUUGGAUUCUUGCUUUCCAUGAGUGUUUUCAUGUUGAAAAGCCAAGUCAAGUCAACGGCCUUAUCAUCAAGAACUUUCCUCUGUAUUUCAUCUCAACGGUUAUCAUUUAGCUUAUACAAAAUUGGCCCAUGUUCAAC